Paramuricea clavata is the source of this 601-nucleotide non-coding RNA. Lineage: Eukaryota; Metazoa; Cnidaria; Anthozoa; Malacalcyonacea; Plexauridae. The record is from the annotation of a GenBank genome assembly.
UCAUGUCAAUUGGUUAAAUUGUUCCUGAGAUAUCCUUUCUCAAAGGGUAAAAUGUGCGAUUUCGAGAAAACGGCUUUAAAGUUUGGGAAUUGUUUACAAUGAGUAAAUGUAAGGUCUAUAUACAGAAGUUCAAAAUCAAAGUCUUGCUGAAGGUAAUUAGAAGGCACCAGCUUCAUAUGUGGUACCUUCAGCAUCCUUCAAUGCUUCUUCCCUUCUAGUACAAAGUAAGUUCUCCCCCUGACGCCUCUUCUUCUAUUUCGCUGUUGCUCAAAAAUUAGGUUUAGGAACCUUUUCACCCACUCUUUCCAGUUCACUUAGACAUUCUCUUUCUAAGACGAGGAGAAUGGUCCAGAUAAUUGUUUAUAAUAUGCAGUUUUUGACAUACAUGGCAUGUUCAUAAUGCUACAUAGUGUAGCCAGUCCACGGUAGCCGCCACCCAUUUCAAAAGAGCUGAACGCAAGUCGUCGAUUAAUGUCGAAAGAUGUUCCCCUAUUGUGAUACACUGGUAGAUGUAUCCAACACCUCUACAUUGUCACAUGUGCUGCAUUCGACUGUCAACCUUGACAUUAACUCCUGUCUUCUAUCUUCGCCAAGCCUCAAA